GACGAACGCUGGCGGCGUGCUUAACACAUGCCAGUCGAACGGUGAACCUCUUCGGAGGGGAUCAGCGGCGAACGGGUGAGUAACACGUGGGCAACCUGCCCCCGGCUCUGGGAUAACUCCAAGAAAUUGGGGCUAAUACCGGAUGUUCACCGCUUCCCGCAUGGGUGGUGGUGGAAAGGGUUUCCGGCUGGGGAUGGGCCCGCGGCCUAUCAGCUUGUUGGUGGGGUAGUGGCCUACCAAGGCGACGACGGGUAGCCGGCCUGAGAGGGUGACCGGCCACACUGGGACUGAGACACGGCCCAGACUCCUACGGGAGGCAGCAGUGGGGAAUAUUGCGCAAUGGGCGGAAGCCUGACGCAGCGACGCCGCGUGGGGGAUGACGGCCUUCGGGUUGUAAACCUCUUUCAGCAGGGACGAAGCGCAAGUGACGGUACCUGCAGAAGAAGCACCGGCCAACUACGUG
RNAcentral lists this ribosomal RNA (463 nucleotides) under uncultured bacterium. RNAcentral describes it as "partial 16S ribosomal RNA". It matches the Rfam family "Bacterial small subunit ribosomal RNA", at positions 28 to 507 of the family's 1533-position model. The record is from RNAcentral.